AAUCAACGCUGGCGGCGUGCCUCAGACACGCAAGUCGAACGAUUAAGACUCUCUUCGGAGAGUGCAUAAAGUGGCGCACGGGUGAGUAACACGUAAGUAAUCUACCCUCGAGUGGGGAAUAACAACCGGAAACGGUUGCUAAUACCGCAUAAUGCAGCGGCACCGCAAGGUGACAGUUGUUAAAGAUUUAUCGCUUGGGGAGGAGCUUGCGGCAGAUUAGCUAGNGGUAAGGUAAUGGCUUACCAAGGCUACGAUCUGUAACCGGUCUAAGAGGACGGUCGGUCACACUGACACUGAAUAACGGGUCAGACUCCUACGGGAGGCAGC
RNAcentral lists this ribosomal RNA (327 nucleotides) under uncultured bacterium. RNAcentral describes it as "bacterial SSU rRNA". It matches the Rfam family "Bacterial small subunit ribosomal RNA", at positions 32 to 352 of the family's 1533-position model. The record is from RNAcentral.